GGGUGUGUGGCUCAGUUGGUAGAGCAUGGUGUUUGCAAUGCCAGGGUUGUGGGUUCGAUUCCCACGCGGGACCA
Salmo salar (Atlantic salmon) is the source of this 74-nucleotide non-coding RNA. The record is from Rfam. NCBI's taxonomy places the organism in Eukaryota, Metazoa, Chordata, Actinopteri, Salmoniformes, Salmonidae.